UACGUAGGGUGCGAGCGUUGUCCGGAAUUAUUGGGCGUGAAGAGCUCGUAGGCGGUGUGUCGCGUGGGUCGUGAAAACUUGGGGCUUAACCCUGAGCUUGCGGUCGAUACGGGCAUCACUGGAGUUCGGCAGGGGAGACUGGAAUUCCUGGUGUAGCGGUGAAAUGCGCAGAUAUCAGGAGGAACACCGGUGGCGAAGGCGGGUCUCUGGGCUGACACUGACGCUCAUGCACGAAAGCGUGGGGAGCAAACAGG
This 254-nucleotide ribosomal RNA is filed under the name uncultured bacterium. RNAcentral describes it as "partial 16S ribosomal RNA". It matches the Rfam family "Bacterial small subunit ribosomal RNA", at positions 524 to 776 of the family's 1533-position model. The record is from RNAcentral.